CGCGUAGGCGGUUUGGUAAGCUGGAUGUGAAAUCCCCGGGCUCAACCUGGGAACUGCCUUCAGAACUGCCAGGCUAGAGUACAGUAGAGGAUAGUGGAAUUUCCGGUGUAGCGGUGAAAUGCGUAGAGAUCGGAAGGAACAUCAGUGGCGAAGGCGGCUAUCUGGACUGAUACUGACGCUGAGGUGCGAAAGCGUGGGGAGCAAACA
RNAcentral lists this ribosomal RNA (207 nucleotides) under uncultured bacterium. Its description in RNAcentral is "partial 16S ribosomal RNA". It matches the Rfam family "Bacterial small subunit ribosomal RNA", at positions 568 to 774 of the family's 1533-position model. The record is from RNAcentral.